This 1207-nucleotide ribosomal RNA is filed under the name Ralstonia solanacearum. RNAcentral's name for it is "bacterial SSU rRNA". It matches the Rfam family "Bacterial small subunit ribosomal RNA", at positions 259 to 1475 of the family's 1533-position model. Lineage: Bacteria; Pseudomonadati; Pseudomonadota; Betaproteobacteria; Burkholderiales; Burkholderiaceae. The record is from RNAcentral.
AACCCCCCACCAGGGGGGUGUUCCGUGCUGUUGGGGAGUCGCUCCCCCACGUGGGACUGACCCCCGCCCAGUCUCCUACGGGAGGCAGCAGUGGUAUUCUGGACAAUGAGGCAACCUGAUCCAGCAAUGCCGAGUGAUGAAGAAGCCUUUCGGAUAUAAAGCACUUUGUCAGAACGAAAUCGCUUCGGUUAAUACCUGGAGUGGAUGACGGUACCGGAAGAAUAAGGACCGACUAACUACCUGCCAGCAGCCGCGGUAAUACGUAGGCUCCAAGCGUUAAUCGGAAUUACUGGGCGUAAAGCGUGCGCAGGCUGUUGUGCAAGACCGAUGUGAAAUCCCCGCGCUUAACGUGGGAAUUGCAUUGGUGACUGCACAGCUAGAGUGUGUCAGAGGGAGGUAGAAUUCCACGUGUAGCAGUGAAAUGCGUAGAGAUGUGGACGAAUACCGAUGGCGAAGGCAUCCUCUUGGGAUAACACUGACGCUCAUGCACGAAAGCGUGGGGAGCAAACAGGAUUAGCUACCCUGGUCGUCCACGCCCUAAACGAUGUCAACUAGUUGUUGGGGAUUCAUUUCCUUAGUAACGUAGCUAACGCGUGAAGUUGACCGCCUGGGGAGUACGGUCGCAAGAUUAAAACUCAAAGGAAUUGACGGGGACCCGCACAAGCGGUGGAUGAUGUGGAUUAAUUCGAUGCAACGCGAAAAACCUUACCUACCCUUGACAUGCCACUAACGAAGCAGAGAUGCAUUAGGUGCUCGAAAGAGAAAGUGGACACAGGUGCUGCAUGGCUGUCGUCAGCUCGUGUCGUGAGAUGUUGGGUUAAGUCCCGCAACGAGCGCAACCCUUGUCUCUAGUUGCUACGAAAGGGCACUUUAGAGAGACUGCCGGUGACAAACCGGAGGAAGGUGGGGAUGACGUCAAGUCCUCAUGCCCCUUAUGGGUAGGGCUUCACACGUCAUACAAUGGUGCAUACAGAGGGUUGACAAGCCGCGAGGUGGAGCUAAUCCCAGAAACUGCAUCGUAGUCCGGAUCGUAGUCUGCAACUCGACUACGUGAAGCGGGAAUCGCUAGUAAUCGGGGAUCAGCAUGCCGCGGUGAAUACGUUCCCGGGUCUUGUACACACCGCCCGUCACACCAUGGGAGUGGGUUCGCCAGAAGUAGUUAGCCUAACCGUCAAGGAGGCCAGAUUACCUCCGGCAGGUCAAUGGG